RNAcentral lists this transfer RNA (73 nucleotides) under Candidatus Hodgkinia cicadicola Dsem. RNAcentral's name for it is "tRNA-Gly (GCC) (tRNA-Gly-GCC-1-1)". It matches the Rfam family "tRNA". Rfam says of the family: Transfer RNA (tRNA) molecules are approximately 80 nucleotides in length. Their secondary structure includes four short double-helical elements and three loops (D, anti-codon, and T loops). Further hydrogen bonds mediate the characteristic L-shaped molecular structure. tRNAs have two regions of fundamental functional importance: the anti-codon, which is responsible for specific mRNA codon recognition, and the 3' end, to which the tRNAs corresponding amino acid is attached (by aminoacyl-tRNA synthetases). tRNAs cope with the degeneracy of the genetic code in two manners: having more than one tRNA (with a specific anti-codon) for a particular amino acid; and 'wobble' base-pairing, i.e. permitting non-standard base-pairing at the 3rd anti-codon position. Lineage: Bacteria; Pseudomonadati; Pseudomonadota; Alphaproteobacteria; Hyphomicrobiales. The record is from RNAcentral.
GCGAGCAUGGCUUAGCUGGCAGAGCGCGACCUUGCCAAGGUUGAAAUCGGGUGUUCGACUCACCUUGCUCGCU